AUACGGGGGGUGCAAGCGUUAUUCGGAUUUAUUGGGCGUAAAGGGCGCGUAGGCGGCUUGGUAAGUCAGAUGUGAAAGCCCGGGGCUUAACCCCGGAAGUGCAUUUGAAACUAUCAGGCUUGAGUAUGGGAGAGGGAAGUGGAAUUCCUGGUGUAGGGGUGAAAUUCGUAGAUAUCAGGAGGAACACCGGUGGCGAAGGCGACUUCCUGGACCAAUACUGACGCUGAGGCGCGAAGGCGUGGGGAGCAAACAGGAUUAGAAACCCCGGUAGUCC
Molecule: ribosomal RNA, 274 nt
Filed under: uncultured bacterium
Lineage: Bacteria
Description: partial 16S ribosomal RNA
Rfam family: Bacterial small subunit ribosomal RNA
Source: RNAcentral